AGAGGGAGAGGGAGAAGCAGGCUCUCCGCCGAGCAGGGAGCCCGAUGCGGGGCUCGAUCCCAGGACCCCAGGUCAUGACCUGUGCAGAAGGUGGACACUUACCUGACUGAGCCACCCCGGCGCCCCACGAUGGACGUUCCUGCGUGCAGAUCCGGCUGGUCGCAGGACAGCCAGGGCUGCAGCGCGUCCCACCUCCAGGCCACCUCCCCCGAAGGGCGAGCAGCUGUGCCAUCCUGAGCAGCCUGCCCAGGCGAGCGAGUGGCCCAGCGUGUGCAUCUGGCACCCUUGGGCAACAGCGUCUGGGACCUCAGGCCCACGGAGCUGAAAGGAUGCACGUGUGUGGGCCCCUGCCUCCGUGGCACGGAGCAGACUUGGGGAAUCUUGCUUCUGCCGCAAAGCCAGGAGGCGCUCAGAGGUGCCAAGAGCAGCAUCCAAGGCCAACGGGCCUCCCACACGGGCCCAGGAUGUGUCGGGCAGCAAGACGACGGUGACUGUCGUCUGUUCAAACAGGCAAGAUUCUGAUGGCCCAAGAAGUCUCAUUAACACUCAAACAAGAAAAGUUAACACGAAGUAGACCAGCGAAGUAUUGCAGGGAAUAAGCAGGCCAAGUGUGGUCUGAGUGUGAGUCCCCGCACGGAUCCACAGGGUGAAACC
Molecule: long non-coding RNA, 654 nt
Organism: Canis lupus familiaris (dog)
Lineage: Eukaryota; Metazoa; Chordata; Mammalia; Carnivora; Canidae
Exons: 3
Source: RefSeq, a predicted model, not a curated record